This 410-nucleotide ribosomal RNA is filed under the name uncultured bacterium. RNAcentral's name for it is "bacterial SSU rRNA". It matches the Rfam family "Bacterial small subunit ribosomal RNA", at positions 362 to 770 of the family's 1533-position model. The record is from RNAcentral.
UAUUGGUCAAUGGGCUAAGGCCUGAACCAGCCAAGUCGCGUGAGGGAAGACGGUCCUAUGUAUUGUAAACCUCUUUUGUCGGGGAGCAACGAGGCCACGUGUGGCCGAAGUGAGAGUACCCGAAGAAAAAGCAUCGGCUAACUCCGUGCCAGCAGCCGCGGUAAUACGGAGGAUGCGAGCGUUAUCCGGAUUUAUUGGGUUUAAAGGGUGCGUAGGCGGGCUUUUAAGUCAGCGGUAAAAAUUCGGGGCUCAACCCCGUCCGGCCGUUGAAACUGGGGGCCUUGAGUGGGUGAGAAGAAGGCGGAAUGCGUGGUGUAGCGGUGAAAUGCAUAGAUAUCACGCAGAACCCCGAUUGCGAAGGCAGCCUUCCGGCGCCCUACUGACGCUGAGGCACGAAAGUGCGGGGAUCG